Molecule: ribosomal RNA, 253 nt
Filed under: uncultured bacterium
Lineage: Bacteria
Description: partial 16S ribosomal RNA
Rfam family: Bacterial small subunit ribosomal RNA
Source: RNAcentral
UACGAAGGGGGCUAGCGUUGUUCGGAUUUACUGGGCGUAAAGCGCGUGUAGGCGGGCUGGAAAGUUGGGGGUGAAAUCCCGAGGCUCAACCUCGGAACUGCCGCCAAAACUUCCAGCCUGGACUCAGGUAGAGGCAAGUGGAAUUGCGAGUGUAGAGGUGAAAUUCGUAGAUAUUCGCAGGAACACCAGUGGCGAAGGCGACUUGCUGGACUUGUAGUGACGCUGAGACGCGAAAGCGUGGGGAGCAAACAGG